GCGUUCGUGGUGUAGUGGUCAGCACACUGAGCCGGUAUUUCAGAGGUCCGCGGUUCGAUCCCCGGCGAAGGCG
Molecule: transfer RNA, 73 nt
Filed under: Stegodyphus mimosarum
Lineage: Eukaryota; Metazoa; Arthropoda; Arachnida; Araneae; Eresidae
Rfam family: tRNA
About the family: Transfer RNA (tRNA) molecules are approximately 80 nucleotides in length. Their secondary structure includes four short double-helical elements and three loops (D, anti-codon, and T loops).
Source: Rfam by way of RNAcentral